Molecule: unclassified non-coding RNA, 343 nt
Filed under: soil metagenome
Description: partial contains 5.8S ribosomal RNA, internal transcribed spacer 2, and large subunit ribosomal RNA
Rfam family: 5.8S ribosomal RNA (bases 1-119)
Source: RNAcentral
GAUGAAGAACGUAGCGAAAUGCGAUAAGUAAUGCGAAUUGCAGAAUCCGUGAGUCAUCGAAUCUUUGAACGCACAUUGCGCCCACUGGUAUUCCGGUGGGCAUGCCUGUUCGAGCGUCAUUAUCCUCCCUCAAACCCCGGGUUUGGUGUUGGACCCAAGUUGUGUGAACAACUGGUCUCAAAGACAAUGACGGCGUCCGUGGGACCCUCGGUGCAACGAGCUUUUAGGAGCACGCAUCGAGUUGCAAGGACCUUCCGGGCCGGUCUCCUUUACCAUUUUACAAGGUUGACCUCGGAUCAGGUAGGAAUACCCGCUGAACUUAAGCAUAUCAAUAAGCGGAGGA